Molecule: long non-coding RNA, 733 nt
Organism: Tympanuchus pallidicinctus (lesser prairie-chicken)
Lineage: Eukaryota; Metazoa; Chordata; Aves; Galliformes; Phasianidae
Exons: 2
Source: RefSeq, a predicted model, not a curated record
CCGAACCUCUGAUUGAUCACCUGAGGCGAGCCGUGAGUCAGCCAGAGGAGCACAGCUGAAGGCAAUUCUCCUGUGCUGCCGGAAGGGUGGAGCCUGGCUGCACCCCUCCUAGACCUAUUUAAGAGCUGGCUACCAGAGGGGAAGGAGCUCUUCUGGAGAUCACCUCUCUUGGUGUUUUGUGGUGAGCUCAGCCAAAGGUAGAUGGCUGUUUGCUGUAUCACAUGGUUGUGAUCUUGCUCUUCCAAAAAUCCUGCUUCCUGGGAGUGACAGCUUUGACUGCUUAAUAGAAACCAGAAUGCAAUGGGAGAAAGGGCAGGAAGAUGGUGUAGACAUCAGGCACCAACAACACAGAGCUCCACAAAACAAAAGAAGACAACUCCAGCCCUCCAGGACCCAACCAGAGGACUGGGGGAACUGCCAUGAAAGAUACGGCUGCCAUUCAGGAGAUGGAUUUCUCUGUGAGACUCUUCUGUAAUUUCUCUGUACCUCAGCUGUACGCAGGGGACCUUCUAAUUUCUCUCCCAGUGGCUGAUUUUAACAACCUGAAAUGUUUUGUUUUAUUUUUACCCUGGAUGUCAUUACUUUUAAAAAGAGACAAGCUGUCCCAGAAUGGUGCAAUUAAAUUGUUAAACUGGCUAAUAGCUCAGCAGAAGCAGCCGGGCUGUGCUUUACCCUCCAUUACCAGCCAGCUGGAGAAAAAUGCUGAUACCAUUAAACGGCAUUUUAAAAAUGA